UACAUCUCUAGAAUCUGACGCCUUCCCUUUUCCCUAAUUAGCCAUCACCUGGGGUGACGACUCCGAGAAAUCCACACAACUAGGUUCUGUACCUUUUUACCGGCUGUAGGACUAACUGCAGACUGCGAGUCUUUCUCUGAAGCAUCACUUUACACAAGUCAGAAACUGUAAUUUCCACUUUGCUGCACCUCUGAGUACAGGCGGCAGGUGCCAAGCGUCCCGAGCCGUCCUGUUUCAGGGCAGCUGUUUUCGCUACCAUGGAUUGUAGACAAGAGGGAAGAAGUGCUCCCUGGAAUCCAAGCCCCCCCCCCC
Herpailurus yagouaroundi (jaguarundi) is the source of this 312-nucleotide long non-coding RNA. RefSeq lists it as uncharacterized. Lineage: Eukaryota; Metazoa; Chordata; Mammalia; Carnivora; Felidae. The record is from RefSeq and is a predicted model, not a curated record. The transcript has 3 exons.